AGCGUCAUCCUACGGGGGCAGCAGUAGGGAAUUUUCGUCAAUGGGCGCAAGCCUGAACGAGCGAUGCCGCGUGAGUGAAGAAGGCCUUCGGGUCGUAAAGCUCUGUUGCGGGGGAAAAAGGCAGCAUCAGGAAAUGGGUGCUGACUGAUGGUGCCCCGCCAGAAAGUCACGGCUAACUACGUGCC
Molecule: ribosomal RNA, 185 nt
Filed under: uncultured bacterium
Lineage: Bacteria
Description: partial 16S ribosomal RNA
Rfam family: Bacterial small subunit ribosomal RNA
Source: RNAcentral